UAUAAAAGUAAUUGACUGCCGAAGACAGCAGGUGCCGUUAGGCAUAAGGUUGAGAACGCCUGCCGAGGAAGAUACGAAUUCUUUUUAAAAAGAACAUUUGUAAACCUCUGUGUCUUCUGUCGCAGAGGUUUUUUGUAUAGGCG
This is a regulatory RNA element of 143 nucleotides. It matches the Rfam family "Ribosomal protein L10 leader". From Rfam's summary of the family: This family is a putative r-protein leader autoregulatory structure found in B. subtilis and other low-GC Gram-positive bacteria. The record is from Rfam.